RNAcentral lists this ribosomal RNA (429 nucleotides) under Bacteroidota bacterium. RNAcentral's name for it is "Bacteroidetes bacterium partial 16S ribosomal RNA". It matches the Rfam family "Bacterial small subunit ribosomal RNA", at positions 355 to 776 of the family's 1533-position model. Lineage: Bacteria; Pseudomonadati; Bacteroidota. The record is from RNAcentral.
UAGGGAAUCUUCCGCAAUGGACGCAAGUCUGACGGAGCAACGCCGCGUGAGUGAAGAAGGAUUUCGGUUCGUAAAACUCUGUUGUUAGAGAAGAACAGCGCAUAGAGUAACUGUUAUGCGUGUGACGGUAUCUAACCAGAAAGCCACGGCUAACUACGUGCCAGCAGCCGCGGUAAUACGUAGGUGGCAAGCGUUGUCCGGAUUUAUUGGGCGUAAAGCGAGCGCAGGCGGUCAAUUAAGUCUGAUGUGAAAGCCCCCGGCUCAACCGGGGAGGGUCAUUGGAAACUGGUUGACUUGAGUGCAGAAGAGGAGAGUGGAAUUCCAUGUGUAGCGGUGAAAUGCGUAGAUAUAUGGAGGAACACCAGUGGCGAAGGCGACUUUCUGGUCAUCAUCUGACGCUGAGGUACGAAAGCGUGGGUAGCAAACAGG